This 319-nucleotide unclassified non-coding RNA is filed under the name fungal sp. Its description in RNAcentral is "partial internal transcribed spacer region". The stretch from base 1 to 46 matches the Rfam family "Eukaryotic small subunit ribosomal RNA", at positions 1786 to 1831 of the family's 1831-position model. Lineage: Eukaryota; Fungi. The record is from RNAcentral.
AAGUCGUAACAAGGUUUCCGUAGGUGAACCUGCGGAAGGAUCAUUAACAUCUGCUUUGGAUUUGGGUGGUGUUGUUGGGUCAGAGAGCAAUCUCUUGCUUGAUUAACACCACCUCCCACCCCACUUGUGUGCAUUUUGCAGUGUUGAGUUUGUGCUGGUGGAAACACCUCCACUCUCUCUCUACUCUUUAUCUCAUUCUCAUUCAAAUCAAACCCCUUCUUAUUCCACACUAGUCUGAACACAAACACCUUUUUUCUCACUUACAAGGAGGAAAAAACCAAUCAGCAUACAACUCUUAGCAACGGAUAUCUAGGCUCUC